Molecule: ribosomal RNA, 396 nt
Filed under: uncultured bacterium
Lineage: Bacteria
Description: partial 16S ribosomal RNA
Rfam family: Bacterial small subunit ribosomal RNA
Source: RNAcentral
AUACAGAGGGUGCAAGCGUUAAUCGGAUUUACUGGGCGUAAAGCGCGCGUAGGUGGCUAAUUAAGUCAAAUGUGAAAUCCCCGAGCUUAACUUGGGAAUUGCAUUCGAUACUGGUUAGCUAGAGUAUGGGAGAGGAUGGUAGAAUUCCAGGUGUAGCGGUGAAAUGCGUAGAGAUCUGGAGGAAUACCGAGGGCGAAGGCAGCCAUCUGGCCUAAUACUGACACUGAGGUGCGAAAGCAUGGGGAGCAAACAGGAUUAGAUACCCUGGUAGUCCAUGUCGUAAACGAUGUCUACUAGCCGUUGGGGCCCUUGAGGCUUUAGUGGCGCAGCUAACGCGAUAAGUAGACCGCCUGGGGAGUACGGUCGCAAGACUAAAACUCAAAUGAAUUGGCGGGG